AAGAAAAAAAUUAUCUGAGCAAGGUUUUUUUUUUUCAGUUAAGAUAAUGUAUAAGACAUUGAUCUCCUCACUGAUUUGUAUGUCUUUUUUUGCAGACACUAUGGCAUCACCACCUGUAAUCCAGCAGGCCCCUGCCUUCAUUCAGGUAAAAUCUGGAGAAGAGGCACGUCUCGAAUGUUACCAUGGGGAGAACAGCUAUCCUUACAUGCUCUGGUACCAGUCAACUGUCGGGGGCCGAAAGACCAUGGACCUGAUUGGACUGCUUCAUUAUGAAAAUAAAAACCCUGAGAAGGGCUUUGAAAGCCGUUUUAACUUCACCGGUCAUUCAAAAGGCAAAGCUUGGCUGGUCAUCUGUGAUACCAAACCAGCAGACACAGCACAGUAUUUCUGUGCAGCUAGUCAACACAGUGCUUUAAUUCCUGUGGCUGCUGCACAAAAACACUGCUGCUCAUAUCUAGCAUGCACCUGCAUGAACUGA
Non-coding RNA from Cyprinodon tularosa, 478 nucleotides. The record is from the annotation of a RefSeq genome assembly. NCBI's taxonomy places the organism in Eukaryota, Metazoa, Chordata, Actinopteri, Cyprinodontiformes, Cyprinodontidae.